This 477-nucleotide ribosomal RNA is filed under the name uncultured bacterium. RNAcentral describes it as "partial 16S ribosomal RNA". It matches the Rfam family "Bacterial small subunit ribosomal RNA", at positions 29 to 507 of the family's 1533-position model. The record is from RNAcentral.
AUGAACGCUGGCGGCGUGCUUAACACAUGCAAGUCGAACGGGAAACCUUUUAAUGAAGCUUCGGCAGAUUUAGCUGGUUUCUAGUGGCGGACGGGUGAGUAACGCGUGGGUAACCUGCCUUAUACAGGGGGAUAACAGUCAGAAAUGACUGCUAAUACCGCAUAAGCGCACAGGACCGCAUGGUCCGGUGUGAAAAACUCCGGUGGUAUAAGAUGGACCCGCGUUGGAUUAGCUUGUUGGUGGGGUAACGGCUCACCAAGGCGACGAUCCAUAGCCGGCCUGGGAGGGUGAACCGCCACCUUGGGACCGAGAACCCGCCCCGGCUCCUACGGGAGGCAGCAGUUGGGAAUAUUGCACAAUUGGGGAAACCCUUAUGCAGCGACGCCGCGUGAAGGAAGAAGUAUCCCGGUAUGUAAACUUCUAUCAGCAGGGAAGGUAGUGACGGUACCUGACUAAGGAGGCCCGGCUAACUACGUG